This 463-nucleotide ribosomal RNA is filed under the name uncultured Lampropedia sp. RNAcentral's name for it is "bacterial SSU rRNA". It matches the Rfam family "Bacterial small subunit ribosomal RNA", at positions 919 to 1382 of the family's 1533-position model. The record is from RNAcentral. Lineage: Bacteria; Pseudomonadati; Pseudomonadota; Betaproteobacteria; Burkholderiales; Comamonadaceae.
ACCCGCACAAGCGGUGGAUGAUGUGGUUUAAUUCGAUGCAACGCGAAAACCCUUACCCACCUUUGACAUGUACGGAAUCCUUUAGAGAUAGAGGAGUGCUCGAAAGAGAGCCGUAACACAGGUGCUGCAUGGCUGUCGUCAGCUCGUGUCGUGAGAUGUUGGGUUAAGUCCCGCAACGAGCGCAACCCUUGUCAUUAGUUGCCAUCAUUUGGUUGGGCACUCUAAUGAGACUGCCGGUGACAAACCGGAGGAAGGUGGGAUGACGUCAAGUCCUCAUGGCCCUUAUGGGUAGGGCUUCACACGUCAUACAAUGGUCGGUACAGAGGGUUGCCAACCCGCGAGGGGGAGCUAAUCCCACAAAGCCGAUCGUAGUCCGGAUCGCAGUCUGCAACUCGACUGCGUGAAGUCGGAAUCGCUAGUAAUCGUGGAUCAGCAUGUCACGGUGAAUACGUUCCCGGGUCUU